CAGUCGCCGCGGUAAUACAGAGGGUGCGAGCGUUAAUCGGAUUUACUGGGCGUAAAGCGUGCGUAGGCGGCUAAUUGAGUCGGAUGUGAAAUCCCUGAGCUUAACUUAGGAAUUGCAUUCGAUACUGGGAAGCUAGAGUAUGGUAGAGGAUGGUAGAAUUCCAGGUGUAGCGGUGAAAUGCGUAGAGAUCUGGAGGAAUACCGAUGGCGAAGGCAGCCAUCUGGCCUAAUACUGACGCUGAGGUACGAAAGCAUGGGGAGCAAACAGGAUUAGAUACCCCAGUAGUCCCUGUCUCUUAUAA
RNAcentral lists this ribosomal RNA (301 nucleotides) under uncultured bacterium. RNAcentral's name for it is "partial 16S ribosomal RNA". It matches the Rfam family "Bacterial small subunit ribosomal RNA", at positions 509 to 809 of the family's 1533-position model. The record is from RNAcentral.